RNAcentral lists this long non-coding RNA (1669 nucleotides) under Portunus trituberculatus (swimming crab). RNAcentral's name for it is "uncharacterized LOC123510108". Lineage: Eukaryota; Metazoa; Arthropoda; Malacostraca; Decapoda; Portunidae. The record is from RNAcentral.
AAAAAAAAAAAAAAUAAAAUAAAAAAAUACAUGCCAAACUACUUUAAAAUAUCCGAAAAACAAGAAUCUCCAUAUUCAUUCUGCUUACUAUUUGGCGACUUUAUACAGCUUCAGAAACUCAUGUGGGAUUAAAAUAGUGAAGACUGGCCAUUAAUCAUCUGACCUCCAUAGAGCUUUCCUAAUCCCGCCGCCCACAACCAGCCAAGCGCCGCACAGCACACACCCUGGCCGGAGUGAGCCUGAGUGAGCAUACUGAAAGGCCAUGGGUCACCUCGAGCGUAGUAACCAUGCGCACUAUCCAGCCAGGCCUUGGAGCACGACGUCACCAACUGGUCUAAGCAGCUUCCAUAUUGCAUGAGCUUUACUUACUUGUAUAAUUCCAUCACCAAAAAAUAGAUGCAGGAAUAGAUAAAUGAAGAAAAAUACCUCAGAAAAAUUGCAUGAACUCUCCUUACUUACUCCAUCAGCAAAAAAUAAAUGAAGAUAUAGAUUAAAAGAAGAAAAAUACCUCAUAAUUUUUCCUAUCUCUUCUUUUCUUUCAUUUCUUUCAUACAUGUAAACUCAAACGAUGCGCCUUCAUAAUGAUAACACUGGUACUUAAUAUCUUCACUACGGGGACGUGUUUUUAUAUUCAUUCUGCUUAUCAUUACUAUUUGGCGAUUUUAUACGGCUUUCAAAACAUAUGUGGGGGGAUUAAAAUAGUAAAGACUCUGGCCAUUAAUCUUCUGACCUCCAUAGACCUUUCCUAAUGUCAAUAAACUCAUCUAAUCACACCAAACACUCAUGACAAAAAUGCCUUCCAGUAUUGAAGGGGUUAAAGAUACAAUAAAGGACAUGAUGUAAGCAAAACACAACGAUAAACCUCGUAAAAAAAACCUUUAAUAUCUUUACACCUUACUCAGCUAAAUCACCAUUAUCACAACCAGCAUUGUAAACCCGUAUCAAGUAAUGUAUGUAGAGGCAACACAACACUUAACCCCAUUACAUCGUUUGAAAGACUCACAAACAACAAACAAGACUCAAGUGCUCCAUUAACCUGAAGGAGGAACAUGGACGUCACAGUGAAGUGCCUUAUGAAAUAUAUACAAAUCCAUUUAGCCUUAUCACUAACCCUUAUCUUAUCACAGAGCGACGGCGACUUUGCAGGUGGUGGUGGUGGUGGUGGUCUGUAGAUGGCGGCGGUGGUGGUGGUGAUGGAACUGGCAUGAGGGAAGAGAAGAGGAGGGAGAGACUGGGGUGGGGUAUACAAAGGAUGGACUGAGGUGAGGAGGGGGGUGUAUCUCUGACGUAAGUGCUGAUGUGUAGGGGUGUUGAAUGCUUCAAUGCUGAGGAACACUGGCUUGACUUUUGGUGUGAAAGGUGAAGGACAGACAGUUGGGAUAGAACAGGUGCGACAGGUUAGACAGGUAGCGAACAGACAGACUUAGGCCACAGAAAACCUAGGUGGAACUUGUUACGGGUACUUCUCAGGUCAAGGAUCUACAGACAGGAUAAAGGAAGGAAAUAAGAGGAAAGAUUAGGGAGACGCAGUGACCAGUAAGCUUGUAACUGUGAAACUGAGGAAUAAGCAGAAGACUGAGUGAACUGGAGGAGCUCAGAGGAAAGGAAAGGUAUCGUCAGAAAGGUUUUACUGUGUUAAUGAAUGGAUGAAGGUCGAAACAGCGAGACA